This 481-nucleotide ribosomal RNA is filed under the name uncultured bacterium. RNAcentral describes it as "bacterial SSU rRNA". It matches the Rfam family "Bacterial small subunit ribosomal RNA", at positions 28 to 511 of the family's 1533-position model. The record is from RNAcentral.
GACGAACGCUGGCGGCGUGCUUAACACAUGCAAGUCAACUUGAAGUAGCAAUAUGGAUGGUGGCGAACGGGUGAGUAACGCGUAGAUAACCUGCCCCUUAGUUUGGGAUAACCUCGGGAAACUGGGACUAAUACCGGAUACUAUCUUUUGUCGGCAUCGACAGGAGAUGAAAGAUCUUGAAUCGCUAAGGGAGGGGUCUGCGUACUAUUAGAUAGUUGGUGAGGUAACGGCUCACCAAGUCAUUGAUAGUUAGCUGGUCUGAGAGGAUGAUCAGCCACACUGGGACUGAGAUACGGCCCAGACUCCUACGGGAGGCAGCAGUGAGGAAUAUUGCACAAUGGGGGCAACCCUGAUGCAGCAACGCCGCGUGAGUGAUGGAGCAGUUUAUCUGUGUAAAGCUCUGUUGGGAGGGACGAAUUGUAAGGUUAGUUGCCUUGCUUGACGGUACCUCCUGAGGAAGCUCCGGCUAACUCCGUGCCAG